GUCUACGGCCAUGCCACCCUGAACGUGCCUGAUCUCAGAAGCUAAGCAGGGUUGGGCCUGGUUAGUGCAUGGAUGGGAGAUCACCUAGGAAUACCAGGUGCUGUAGGUG
Molecule: ribosomal RNA, 109 nt
Filed under: Pteropus alecto (black flying fox)
Lineage: Eukaryota; Metazoa; Chordata; Mammalia; Chiroptera; Pteropodidae
Source: RNAcentral